AGGUGCAGAGAAAGCGCCGGCUAACUACGUGCCAGCAGCCGCGGUAAUACGUAGGGCGCGAGCGUUGUCCGGAAUUAUUGGGCGUAAAGCGCGCGUAGGCGGUUUUUUAAGUCUGAUGUGAAAGCCCACGGCUCAACCGUGGAGGGUCAUUGGAAACUGGAAAACUUGAGUGCAGAAGAGGAAAGUGGAAUUCCAUGUGUAGCGGUGAAAUGCGCAGAGAUAUGGAGGAACACCAGUGGCGAAGGCGACUUUCUGGUCUGUAACUGACGCUGAUGUGCGAAAGCGUGGGGAUCAAACAGGAUUAGAUACCCUGGUAGUCCACGCCGUAAACGAUGAGUGCUAAGUGUUAGGGGGUUUCCGCCCCUUAGUGCUGCAGCUAACGCAUUAAGCACUCCGCCUGGGGAGUACGACCGCAAGGUGAAACUCAAAGGAAUUGACGGC
This 441-nucleotide ribosomal RNA is filed under the name uncultured bacterium. RNAcentral's name for it is "bacterial SSU rRNA". It matches the Rfam family "Bacterial small subunit ribosomal RNA", at positions 477 to 917 of the family's 1533-position model. The record is from RNAcentral.